This 1201-nucleotide long non-coding RNA is filed under the name Elaeis guineensis (African oil palm). RNAcentral describes it as "long non-coding RNA (EGUI_LNC080493)". Lineage: Eukaryota; Viridiplantae; Streptophyta; Magnoliopsida; Arecales; Arecaceae. The record is from RNAcentral.
GUGCCCAAUAACAUGGUGGUUAGCCCUUGGAUCUUAGGUAAAUGCAUCAAAUGCAUAAACCUUAAGUCCUGGCAAUCUACAUCCUUAUGUAGCUUUCCAAGGCUCCGUGCAUCACAUACACUGGAUUUCAAUUCCAUCGAAAAUUAAAUUAUAGGAUCUAAUCUAAACUUGUCACACAAGUCUAAAGACUAUGAAAUUUCAUAUCCAAGAUUUAAACAUGAAAUGAUAACACUUUAUCAUAAACAAAAAUGCAUCAAGAACAUCAAUUAAACAUCAAUCAGAAAAUCUGAUUUUGACAUAGUUUGAACUGGAUCUAAUCCAUAUCACAAAAAUAACAUGAAAUUUGAUUGAAUCAAUCAAGAGUGGUUUUGGUAUCACUGUUGGGUUUUGGUGACGCAGUGGAAUAUGAAUUUCAAAAAUUUUAACAUGCAUUCAACAAUUGAAAACAAAGUUUAACAUUUAAACUAGUCUACCGGAACACAAAAGCCCUAGGAACUCCUUAAUCAUUACAAUCAAAUGAUCAAAAGCAUACAUAUCAAGAAGAGAUCAGAAGUCAUAUACCAAAGAGAAGACCACGAUCUGAUAAUUUUGAGACCUCCACGAGACUCCAAAGUAGAAGCCCUCCAACGGUGAUCCACAUAGGAUUGUUUAGGGUCCUUCCCAACUCGAUAUGGUGUUGCAGCCUUCUUCGCAAGCUCGCUGACGACCAUCUUUUGUAAGAACUGAUUGCACCAAUGCUUAUAUAUCUUCGUGAACUCCACUAGGAUCUCUUUAGGAACCCUUCCUCAAAAGAUCUCACCACACACAAAUUAGAUUUUAUGUUCAACACAUAAACAAUCUGAUUUUUGGACAAGCAUCUUAUGCUUUCCAUUUUUACUCUUCGCUUCCUUUCUAUUUUUUUUCUUUUUUUUCUUAUCUUUUUCUCAGAUUUUUUCCAUUAUUUUCCUCUCAUUUCCACACCCAACUAUAGCCCAAAUUGGCAUGUAGAAAUCAGGUGUAGCACCCCCUUUAAAUAGAAAAGGAUGGGCGACACCAUGGGACGCCAACUCUUGGCGUCCCUUAUCCAUUACACGCACCAAUUCAUUUUUUGCAUGAAAAUCAAGGGGUCAUGGCAUGGAAUAAGAAGAGUUUCGUUUGCAGAAGGACUCUUCCUCUGCAUAAAAAAUCUAAACGCCAUCAUAUGGCGUGUAAUAAUUAAGAG